Molecule: ribosomal RNA, 378 nt
Filed under: uncultured bacterium
Lineage: Bacteria
Description: bacterial SSU rRNA
Rfam family: Bacterial small subunit ribosomal RNA
Source: RNAcentral
GUAGUCCACGCCGUAAACGAUGUCGACUUGGAGGUUGUUCCCUUGAGGAGUGGCUUCCGGAGCUAACGCGUUAAGUCGACCGCCUGGGGAGUACGGCCGCAAGGUUAAAACUCAAAUGAAUUGACGGGGGCCCGCACAAGCGGUGGAGCAUGUGGUUUAAUUCGAUGCAACGCGAAGAACCUUACCUACUCUUGACAUCCACGGAAUUUGGCAGAGAUGCCUUAGUGCCUUCGGGAACCGUGAGACAGGUGCUGCAUGGCUGUCGUCAGCUCGUGUUGUGAAAUGUUGGGUUAAGUCCCGCAACGAGCGCAACCCUUAUCCUUUGUUGCCAGCGAUUCGGUCGGGAACUCAAAGGAGACUGCCGGUGAUAAACCGGAG